AUGCAAUAUAUAUGCCCCAGCCUUGAAACAAGAGCUGCCUGGCAGAGGCAGUGCAGUACAUUGGAAGCAUUGUUUUAUUGCUGCCUCGCUGCUGGGAUCGCUGAGCGCUCCCAAAAACCGCCUGGCGCUGCUGCUGUUCUGCUCCAGCGGGACGCAGGAUGCUGCGGGGGGUGGCCGCAUGCUGCCUCUGCUCACUGCGGAGCAGCAGCUCGAGCAAAUGCUAAAGGACUGGAAAUAGCAGUUAAUAAAGGAAUGGAAACAUCAGGUGCUGUACUGAAAUCAUUGAAGACAAAGCAAUUGGAAGCAAAACACUCUCCUGCCCUGCUGUGCUGCAGUUAUCGGAUCCUCACCAACGGUUGUUUUAAGCAUAGAUCACCUCUACGAACCCACUCCACACCUGUCUGAGUGGACACUAAACAGCAAAAUGGAGGGAGAGGCAGGGAGGAGCAGGACUAUAGCAUCUUCACCCCAAAUUCCUAUGAACUGCCAUGGGACUACACCCCUUUGCCUUGGUGAUGAAGCUGAGGACAGAGCACUGUGUGAAUACACGUGGAUUAUUUUGCAGAAACUGUUUGCCAUCUAGUGGUUUGUCAGCCUCCCGCAAAUAGAAAUUUAAAAAAUAGUAAAGAACUGGAGGUCAUAAUGGUGAAAAAAAAUACAUAUUUCCCAAUAUGCUUGAACCUAUAAAAACACAUAGGAAAGAUGAAGCUCCUAUUGCAAACUGUUUGCCGUUAGAAGGAACAUGUUGUGGAGACAAGCCAGGAAAACUUGCACACAAGCAAUGUGAGAUUCCAGGAGAUGUCAG
Molecule: long non-coding RNA, 805 nt
Filed under: Anas platyrhynchos platyrhynchos (common mallard)
Lineage: Eukaryota; Metazoa; Chordata; Aves; Anseriformes; Anatidae
Description: lncRNA (ENSAPLG00000030875.1)
Source: RNAcentral